GUCGAGCGACUGAUCGGAGCUUGCUCGUUUGACGUUAGCGGCGAGGAGGUGAGUAACUGUUGGGUAACGUACCUGGAGACUGGGAGACUGGGGUGAACCGGAACUAAUACCGGAUAACAUUUGGAACCGCAUGGUUCUAAAGUGAAAGAUGGUUUUGCUAUCACUUAUAGAUGGACCCGCGCCGUAUUAGCUAGUUGGUAAGGUAACGGCUUACCAAGGCGACGAUACGUAGCCGACCUGAGAGGGUGAUCGGCCACACUGGAACUGACACACGGUCCAGACUCCUACGGGAGGCAGCAGUAGGGAAUCUUCCGCAAUGGGCGAAAGCCUGACGGAGCAACGCCGCGUGACUGAUGAAGGGUUUCGGCUCGUAAAACUCUGUUAUUAGGGAAGAACAAAUGUGUAAGUAACUGUGCACGUCUUGACGGUACCUGAUCAGAAAGCCACGGCUAACUACGUGCCAGCAGCCGCGGUAAUACGUAGGUGGCCAGCGUUAUCCGGAAUUAUUGGGCGUUAAGCGCGCGUAGGCGGGUUCUUAAGUCUGAUGUGAAAGCCCACGGCUCACCCCUGGAGGGUCAUUGGAGACUGUUAAACUUGAGUGCACAAGAGGACAGUGGAAUUCCAUGUGUAUCGGUGAAAUGCGCAGAGAUAUGGAGGAACACCAGAGGCGAACGCGACUUUCUGGGCUGUAACUGACGCUGAUGUGCGAAAGCGUGUGGAUCAAUGAGGAUUACAUACCCUGGUAGUCCCCGCCGUUAACAUCAGGUGCUAAAUGUUACGGGGUGUCCGCCCCUUUUUGCUCGCUCCAACCUCUUU
This 816-nucleotide ribosomal RNA is filed under the name Staphylococcus sp. Its description in RNAcentral is "bacterial SSU rRNA". It matches the Rfam family "Bacterial small subunit ribosomal RNA", at positions 61 to 862 of the family's 1533-position model. Lineage: Bacteria; Bacillati; Bacillota; Bacilli; Caryophanales; Staphylococcaceae. The record is from RNAcentral.